AACGCGAAGAACCUUACCUGGACUUGACAUGCAUUUGACAGCCUCAGAAAUGGGGUGUUCUCGCAAGAGACAGAUGCACAGGUGCUGCAUGGCUGUCGUCAGCUCGUGCCGUGAGGUGUUGGGUUAAGUCCCGCAACGAGCGCAACCCUUGUCGUUAGUUGCCAACACGUAAUGGUGGGCACUCUAACGAGACUGCCUAGGUUAACUAGGAGGAAGGUGAGGAUGACGUCAAGUCCGCAUGGCCUUUAUGUCCAGGGCUACACACGUGCUACAAUGGUCGGUACAGAAGGCAGCGAAGCCGCGAGGCGAAGCAAAUCCCCAAAGCCGGCCCCAGUUCAGAUUGGAGUCUGCAACUCGACUCCAUGAAGAUGGAAUUGCUAGUAAUGGCGGGUCAGCAACACCGCCGUGAAUACGUUCCCGGGCCUUUACACACCGCUCGUC
RNAcentral lists this ribosomal RNA (441 nucleotides) under uncultured bacterium. RNAcentral's name for it is "bacterial SSU rRNA". It matches the Rfam family "Bacterial small subunit ribosomal RNA", at positions 958 to 1398 of the family's 1533-position model. The record is from RNAcentral.